Long non-coding RNA from Mobula hypostoma (lesser devil ray), 5295 nucleotides. RefSeq lists it as uncharacterized. NCBI's taxonomy places the organism in Eukaryota, Metazoa, Chordata, Chondrichthyes, Myliobatiformes, Myliobatidae. The transcript has 3 exons. The record is from RefSeq and is a predicted model, not a curated record.
GCCCCAUUUCUGCGACUUUCUGCUUCCCUCCUGAGUGUGAGUCGGAGCCGGCUACGAUGGGACGCUUUGCCCUUGGAGUUCUGCUUCUGCAACUGGCCAAACUCUGGCCAGCCGAUGCUGCAGUGAUUCCAAUUAUUCCAUCCUUGCCGCAAGAAAGACUCACUCUUCUGCCAGAACCGGAACUGGAGUGCAGGCCCCCCAGUACACUAUUCCAGACGAAGGGGGGUGUGGAAGUCUGUAUUAACCCCCCCGACCUGAGGAUCCAGAAAGCGCUGGACGUGCUGAGAAAACACUUCCGGCAGGGUUAGAUCAGCAGGACGGAGAGGAGCCUUUCAGAGACCAGCAACAGAGGCAAUCCAUCAAGUACAGAAUGCUGCCGGGCCGACAUCAGCUACCCGCUACCUCACUCCACUUGCCUCUGAUUGUGGGAUUAGUUUGCUGCCAGCCCUGGCUCUCUCGUUGGGAUUGUAGUUUGCUCUCUUUUUCCCCUUUCAUCUACCUCCUGGCUGCUCCCUGCGACACUUCUGAGUUCCUCCUCCCACAGAAGGAGUACGGGCAGUGGGCCAAAUCCAUAACCCACACUCUGAAUAAUAAACUUAUUCUGUGCUCACCUCUGAGACUCACGUGGCUUGAUGUUACAGUACAUGGAAAAGUUCCUCACAGAAUCAUGUCUCGCAAAGUGCAGGCAGAACCUCUGCAUCACAGAGCAACCCCAUCUCCCGGUUACUCCAGGGAUCAUGCUGUUUACCCCAUCCUGUAGCCUGUCCUGCAGAACCCCCAGCUCACCUCCGCCGGACACUCACAAUUCUUGAAGCUACACUGGCCUUCAGCUCCUCUCCCAGGGACGAUGUUGUGCUUCCACCACACUGUCCCAUCACUUCACAAAGGCCUAAGACGGCAGCAAGCUGUUCAGCAUAUCUCUCAAUGCUGCCCCUCAGUAACCUGAAUUGUUCCCUUUCACUCCAGGAUCCUGCUGUUCCAGGAGAUCUGCUGAUCUGCUGCUCCUGGUAAUAAAGUCUUUCAGAUUCUUGGCCACAAGUGUAGAAAACAGAACUCCCCCCCGCCCCCCCGGAGGUCCUGCCUCACUUCCCUCUCCUGUCCUAUACUGCUUUUUCACUCCACAGACUUUCUCCAGCACUGUACAAGCUGCAAGCAUCACACACUGGUUGGAAAGGCAGACAGGACAAAGCUCCUGUGUCACUCCUGCACCCCUGGUUGGAUAAGGGAUAAGGCUUCUGAGACACUCCGGUAUUCCUUUUGCUGCUCAGCAGCCUUCUGUCCCUGUUCAAAUGACAACCACUGCCAGAAACAGGAUCAGACCGACCCAUCACUACUCCCCUUCCCCAAUGCAUCAUAUUGACCACUAUGCUGUAAAUCAGUUUCAGGUUAGCAAUGUGAGCGCAAGACACAGCCUUGAGAUGUCUUCACGGAAGGUGUCAGAGUUCUAUUGCCUGGAUGGUCCAUCAGUACAUCCUCUAGGCAAGGCAUAUUCAACAUCCCCCUUAGCUCAAAAACCCAUACACUGCCCCACUCUUCAGGUAAAUAGUCCGCUCCCCUCCUGUCAACCUGACUGUGAAAGGUGCUCCCUUGGUACUGCCCUUCCCACCGUGCAGUGUCCCCGCUGAUCUGUGUCGAUACCGCAGGGGUGACCCUCUGCCUGAGAGCUUAGAGGUGCUGCCACUAAACAAUGUCUGACUGAAGACUGUCACUACACAGAGAAGCUCCGCUUUGGUUUGAGUUAUCUUUCAGUUACCCCCUUGCCCCUGGUUCCUCCCAACUCACAGCACAUCAACAAGCUCUUUGGUCAACCAUGUCAUGGCCAUAUAGCACAGGAAUGGCUUGGAUUUUCAGUAUCUGCAGAUUUUCUCUUGUUUGUGACUGACUUCCUCUGGCAGCUCAUUUCAUAUACUGAUCACUCUGCAUGAAAACGUUAAAGACCAUCAGACAAAGGAGCAGAAGGCGGCCAUUCGGCCCAUCAAGUCUGCUCCGCCAUUUUAUCAUGAGCUGAUCCAUUCUCCCAUUUAGUCCCACUCCCCCGCCUUCUCACCAUAACCUUUGAUGCCCUGGCUACUCAGAUACCUAUCAAUCUCUGCCUUAAAUACACCCAAUGACUUGGCCUCCACUGCUGCCCGUGGCAACAAAUUCCAUAGAUUCACCACCCUCUGACUAAAAAAAUUUCUCCGCAUUUCUGUUCUGAAUGGGCACCCUUCAAUCCUUAAGUCAUGCCCUCUCGUACUAGACUCCCCCAUCAUGGGAAACAACUUUGCCACAUCCACUCUGUCCAUGCCUUUCAACAUUCGAAAUGUUUCUAUGAGGUCUCCCCUCAUUCUUCUAAACUCCAAGGAAUACAGUCCAAGAGUGGACAAACGUUCCUCAUAUGUUAACCCUCUCAUUCCCGGAAUCAUUCUAGUGAAUCUUCUCUGUACCCUCUCCAACGUCAGCACAUCCUUUCUUAAAUAAGGAGACCAAAACUGCCCACAGUACUCCAAGUGAGGUCUCACCAGCACCUUAUAGAGCCUCAACAUCACAUCCCUGCUCCUAUACUCUAUUCCUCUAGAAAUGAAUGCCAACAUUGCAUUCGCCUUCUUCAUUACCGACUCAACCUGGAGGUUAACCUUAAGGGUAUUCUGUACGAGGACUCCCAAGUCCCGUUGCAUCUCAGAACUUUGAAUUCUCUCCCCACUUAAAUAAUAGUCUGCCCGUUUAUUUCUUCUGCCAAACUGCACAACCAUACACUUUCCAACAUUCCCUCAAGUCGCUAAUAGUAGCUCAAUAGUCCCGUUUAAUAUCAGAGAAUGUAUACAAUAUGCAUCCUGAAAUUACUACUCUCCACAGACAUCCCCAAAACAGAAAAAAAACUACCAAAGGAUGAAUGACAGAAAAAAACCCCAAAGCACCUCCCGACCCAUGUACAAGCAGCACCAACCCUCCUCCCUCCCCCUCCCCUGAAUUAUUCUAGCAUAAAACGUCAGCAUUCCCACCACCCAACAUGCCAACAAUAGCAAAGCUCCCAAAGAGAGACCAUGGUCUACAGUCCAUCAAAAACUAAUUCUUUAUUCCAACAUUUUCAACAUCCCACAGGCUCUCUCUGUCUCUCACUAACAAGAGAGAGACAGAUAUCACUCCUUUCACAGCGCUAGCAGAGACAACAAUCACUAUGUCAAUGUUACUGUCAGUCUGAAGUGUUGCUUUUUUAUUUCAAGUUCCCUGACUCGAGAAUUGGCAAAUUGGUCAUUGAGUGCAGAGCUGUCCGACGGCCACUCUUGUUCUCCUCAGUGUUCUGGCUCCCAGUAUGCAACACUGGUGAGAGUUUGCAUCUAACGGGCUGCUCAGUGACCCGACUUCAUGUCGAACCUGGACAUUCCAAAACGCGGUCAAAAAGCCAACUCCAAGAAGGGGAACGUGCCGCUGUGCAGAACUGCAGUAUCUGGGUGCCAGUGUACAUCAGAGAUCUAAAGAAGACCCUAGCCACCCUGGAAAGAAAAACAGAGACAAUAGAAUGAGAAGAAUUUAACUGUUUCACUGAAGAGCUGGGAGAAGUCGCCCUCUGGUGUCAUCUUUAGUUCCUCUCAUCUUUUCCCCAAACCUGGGAAGAAGUCAAGGUGCCUUCGUUCUGUCUGUGCCCCUCAUGAUUUUAUAACUUCUAUAAGAUCGCCACUCAGACUCCUAUGCUCAGACAAAAGAAAUCCUAAUUUUCACAACCUUUCCCGAUUGGUCGAAUCCUUAAUCACUCUUUUCUGCAUGCUUGUAUAUCUGCAACAUGAACUCCCAUAUUCUGCACUUAGUUUCCUGUCUGGCCAGUGCACCUUAGUCACAAUCCUGCACCUCCACUUUCAGGGAAUUAUGUACCUGAAAUCAAGGCCACUCUUCCACUUUCUACAGCAGUUCCCCAGAGCCCUGCCAUUCACUGUGAAAUUCCUAUCUGAAUUUGACUUCCCAAAACGCAACAUCUUGCAUGUACCUGGAUUACGUGCCGAGCAAUUCCUUGACUCACUUACCUAGCUGAUCAUGACUCCUCUGUAAAUCCUGAUAACUGCCUUCUCUUUCAUACAACACCUCCUAUUUGUGACCUGGAACUUUACUAACCAUUCUUUCUAUAUUCUCACCCGUAUUGCUUUUAUAGAUUACAAUCAAUAAUGAGCCCAGCACUGAGUCCUGUGGUACAGCACAAAACUUGGGGCUCCAGUCUGAGAAACAAAUUUCCAUUACCACCAUCUGCUUCUUACAGUUACACCAAUUGUGCGUGUAAUUUGCGAGCUGUCUCUGGAUCAGAUCUAAUCUACCAAUGUAAACUCUUAACAAAAGCCGUACCCAAGUCCAUAUUGAUGCCUACUUCCCAGCCUUCAUUCACCUUCUUUGCUACUUCAGUGGAUAACUCAAUCAAUUUCAUAAGAUGAUACCCUCAGAAUCCUCUCCAGUAACUUAAGUGGAAUCCGGUUCUGUUCGGAGUCCAGGAAUGAGUGAAAACUUGUUGCUUUAAGAUUGUUUAUGAUCAUAUGAACGAAAGAGUCAGAAGCAUAGACAAAGAAUAAUAUGGCGAUCUUUCCAGACCCGGCACUUCUAUACAAAUCCCUAAGAUAAAUCAAGGAUCAAUUACAAGAUACACAGUCACAGCAGGAGUAUAAUGUGCCAAGUGUGUAAUUUUCACUUAGCCAAUGAAAAACGAAAAGGUGAUAAACCUUUCUGUAACUGCUAUAUCAGUUUUCCAUCUGUAAGUGGAGACAGCACUACAUAUUGUGAAUAUAUGAAAGGAGAAAAAGCUACAAUUUUAGUCUUGCAUUAAUAACUAAUAUCUUAUUAAAAGCAUAAAACGCAACCAAUUCCAACAAUCCCUCCUUCGAUUCUAAAUCACAGAUUCAGAAUAAUUACAUCUGAAAAUUCAGAAGCAGAAAAUUUCGAAGUAUCAACAUUAUAGAGUCAUCAAAAACCACUUCAGUUGUAUCAUAUCAGAGAAUACAUCUUCAAAGCAUUUAUAUCAUUACAUCAUGAUUGCAUUCAUCAAGCAGACUUGUACUAGUUUGGGUUAUUCAGGUGAUGAUUGCCUUUAAGCAAACAGAAAUGUAGAUUAUGAUAAUACAUAUUAAUAUGAAUACUAUAAAUAAUGAAUACUUGAAUAAUUAUGUUUUCAGAGUUGUUAUGUAGUCGCAACACGCGUUACCUAUAACUGUAGGUGUUCCCCCUUUAACUGCAAGAAGAGGACCUGUGCCCUACUGGAAUGGUAAAUACACAGCUUUGCCAUCAACAGAGAUGGUUAUGUCUACGGCUAUAAUAUGGAUAGGGUCAGAUGUGUCAUUU